RNAcentral lists this small RNA (455 nucleotides) under Pan troglodytes (chimpanzee). RNAcentral's name for it is "processed transcript". Lineage: Eukaryota; Metazoa; Chordata; Mammalia; Primates; Hominidae. The record is from RNAcentral.
GGACGCAGUAGCUCCCUGAAGCGGAGGCGAAGGGGAGUUUAAGCCCCAGCGGCGGCAAUGGCGGAGAGGCCCGAGGACCUAAACCUGCCCAAUGCCGUGAUCACCAGGAUCAUCAAGGAGGCGGUGAGCAGCUCGGGGGGGGCGGACGAACGGGCAGGAGGGAAGCAGGUGCUGGAACGGCAGCUUUGCUCACCCCCGGUCUCCUCGCAGCUCCCGGACGGUGUCAACAUCUCCAAGGAGGCCCGGAGCGCCAUCUCCCGCGCCGCCAGCGUCUUCGUGCUGUACGCCACAUCCUGUGCUAACAACUUUGCAAUGAAAGGAAAGCGGAAGACGCUGAAUGCCAGUGAUGUGCUCUCAGCCAUGGAAGAGAUGGAGUUCCAGCGGUUCGUUACCCCAUUGAAAGAAGCUCUGGAAGCAUAUAGGCGGGAGCAGAAAGGCAAGAAGGAGGCCUCAGA